UGCCAGCAGCCGCGGUAAUACGAAGGGUGCAAGCGUUGUUCGGAUUUACUGGGCGUAAAGCGCGCGCAGGCGGAUCGAUAAGUCAGAUGUGAAAUCUCGGGGCUUAACCCCGAAACUGCGUCUGAAACUAUCGAUCUAGAGUCUCGGAGAGGGAUGGGGAAUUUCCUGUGUAGGGGUAAAAUCCGUAGAGAUAGGAAGGAACACCAGAGGCGAAGGCGCCAUCCUAGACGAGUACUGACGCUGAGGCGCGAAAGCGUGGGGAGCAAACAGGAUUAGAUA
RNAcentral lists this ribosomal RNA (279 nucleotides) under uncultured bacterium. RNAcentral's name for it is "partial 16S ribosomal RNA". It matches the Rfam family "Bacterial small subunit ribosomal RNA", at positions 506 to 784 of the family's 1533-position model. The record is from RNAcentral.